Molecule: ribosomal RNA, 342 nt
Filed under: uncultured bacterium
Lineage: Bacteria
Description: bacterial SSU rRNA
Rfam family: Bacterial small subunit ribosomal RNA
Source: RNAcentral
AUUGAACGCUGGCGGCAUGCCUUACACAUGCAAGUCGAACGGCAGCACGGGGGCAACCCUGGUGGCGAGUGGCGAACGGGUGAGUAAUGCAUCGGAACGUACCCAGUCGUGGGGGAUAACGCAGCGAAAGUUGUGCUAAUACCGCAUACGACCUGAGGGUGAAAGCGGGGGACCGUAAGGCCUCGCGCGAUUGGAGCGGCCGAUGUCUGAUUAGCUAGUUGGUGGGGUAAAGGCCCACCAAGGCGACGAUCAGUAGCGGGUCUGAGAGGAUGAUCCGCCACACUGGGACUGAGACACGGCCCAGACUCCUACGGGAGGCAGCAGUGGGGAAUUUUGGACAAU